UACGGAAGGCAGCAGUGGGGAAUAUUGCACAAUGGGCGAAAGCCUGAUGCAGCUAUGCCGCGUGUAUGAAGAAGGCCUUAGGGUUGUAAAGUACUUUCAUCGGGGAGGAAAAACAAAACUAAUAAUUUUAUUUCUUGACGUUACCCGAAAAAGAAGCACCGGCUAACUCCGUGCCAGCAGCCGCGGUAAUACGGAGGGUGCUAGCGUUAAUCAGAAUUACUGGGCGUAAAGAGCACGUAGGUGGUUUUUUUAAGUUCAGAUGUGAAAUCCCUGGGCUUAACCUGGAACUGCAUUUUGAAACUGAAAUACUAGAGUAUCGUAGAGGGAGGUAGAAUUCUAGGUGUAGCGGUGAAAUGCGUAGAUAUCUGGAGGAAAUACCUGUGGCGAAAGCGGCCUCCUAAACGAAUACUGACACUGAGGUGCGAAAGCGUGGGGAGCAAACAGGGAUUAGAUACC
This 456-nucleotide ribosomal RNA is filed under the name uncultured bacterium. RNAcentral describes it as "bacterial SSU rRNA". It matches the Rfam family "Bacterial small subunit ribosomal RNA", at positions 340 to 786 of the family's 1533-position model. The record is from RNAcentral.